Molecule: ribosomal RNA, 718 nt
Filed under: Neosilba zadolicha
Lineage: Eukaryota; Metazoa; Arthropoda; Insecta; Diptera; Lonchaeidae
Description: partial 12S ribosomal RNA
Source: RNAcentral
AUGUUAAUUUUUGUGUGAAUUUUUAUUUAUUUUAAUAAUAAAUAAUUUAUAAUUAGUCGCAGUAAUUAGUAUUAUUAAUUAAAGAAAUUUAGAAAUAGUUAUAUUAAAUAGUAUUGGCAAAAUUCGUGCCAGCAGUCGCGGUUAUACGAAUAAUACAAAUAAAAAUUUUUGGUAAAAGUUAAAUUUUGAUAAAUAAAAUAAGUAUAAAUUUAUAAGGUGAAAUUUAAAAUUUAUAAUUUUUUAAAAAUAAAAUUAAUUGAAGCUUAGAAAUUUUAUUAAUAAACUAGGAUUAGAUACCCUAUUAUUUAAAAUAUAAUUAAAUUUACUUAAGUAGUAUUAGUUAUGUUCUUGAAACUUAAAAAAUUUGGCGGUAUUUUAGUCUAUUCAGAGGAACCUGUUCUGUAAUCGAUAAUCCACGAUGUACCUAACUUAGUUUUGUAUUUCAGUUUAUAUACCGUCGUUAUCAGAAUAUUUAUAAGAAAGAUAAUUUUCUAGAAUUUUUAUAAAAAUGUAUAUCAGAUCAAGGUGUAGCUUAUAAUUAAGUAGAAAUGGGUUACAAUAAAAUUAUUUAAAUGAAUAUAAAAAUGAAAAAUUUAUUGAAAGUGGAUUUGAUAGUAAAAUUAUAAAGAUAAAUAAUUUGAUUUUAGCUCUAAAAUAUGCACACAUCGCCCGUCGCUCUUAUUAUUAAGGUAAGAUAAGUCGUAACAUAGUAGAUGUA